UACUCAGAGAGAUUGGGAUAAACUAGGAGCC
This 31-nucleotide non-coding RNA is filed under the name Mus musculus (house mouse). Lineage: Eukaryota; Metazoa; Chordata; Mammalia; Rodentia; Muridae. The record is from RNAcentral.